Molecule: non-coding RNA, 188 nt
Filed under: Clostridiales bacterium
Lineage: Bacteria; Bacillati; Bacillota; Clostridia; Eubacteriales
Description: 6S RNA
Rfam family: 6S / SsrS RNA
About the family: E. coli 6S RNA was the first non coding RNA to be sequenced, but its function was unknown until recently. It consists of 184 nucleotides that fold into an extended hairpin structure with a large single-stranded internal bulge. The 6S RNA specifically associates with RNA polymerase holoenzyme containing the sigma70 specificity factor.
Source: RNAcentral
UGCGCCCUGCCAUGUGCGAUAAGUACGGCUUAUAAUGUUCCAACAUUUACCUAAAAGGGAGCUCUAUCUCCAACGAAAGACGGCAGACCUCCCGGCCUCGGCCGGACGAAGGGAGCUCGGCGACGUUGGGCGGCACCCACCUGCUUAUGCAGUAUCUUAUCAGUCGUAUCCGGCUUGGCGGGGUACUU